RNAcentral lists this long non-coding RNA (204 nucleotides) under Solanum tuberosum (potato). Its description in RNAcentral is "long non-coding RNA (STUB_LNC005873)". The record is from RNAcentral. Lineage: Eukaryota; Viridiplantae; Streptophyta; Magnoliopsida; Solanales; Solanaceae.
GCGGUUUUACUAAUGGACUUAAUACGCCUUGGGUAUUAAGCCGUCUUAGGCUAAUGCUUAGAUUUGGAUUUGGUUUCGCUCUACUCUAGGUUGACUAGAAUUGGUUUAGAAAUGACGGUUACCCGAGUCGGACAAACAACGGGGUGAAGUCUAAUAAACGACGUUGGAUGACCACAAGCCAACUAUUCGUUUAUCACUUCCAAA